This 131-nucleotide ribosomal RNA is filed under the name Otolemur garnettii (small-eared galago). The record is from RNAcentral. Lineage: Eukaryota; Metazoa; Chordata; Mammalia; Primates; Galagidae.
AUUUACAGCCAAAGCACUCUGAAUGUGCCAGAUCUUAUCUGCUCUUGGGAGCUAAGCAGGGUCAGGUCUGGUUAGUACUUGGAUGGGAAAAAUAUCACAUGCCACCUAUUCCUGAGGAAACCUGCCUAAUC